AUGCCGCCGUUAGAGAAGCCGUCCAAGCCCUCCUUCCUUCGGCGGAGCCGCCUUCCUGGGGAGGCAGGCUCGGAGUUCGCCGAAGGCCGUCGUUCGUGCGACAGGGACCCAAGAUUCUCUCUUGAUGUUGGCCGCAUGUCUGUCGACGAUGUAGGUCUAUCCUGGGACGGGCCCCUGCGCGUCCUAGGACGGCUACCUCUUCGGCGCCGGCGCCGGCAUUGGCCUUGGCCGAGCGCCUCCGCCGCUGUCACGGCUCCCGCCCAUCCUCUCCGCGCUCGAGGGCUCACCUGCCGGCGUGGUGGAACGCUCCGACGGCCAAAUUCCCGUGGAAGAUGA
Molecule: ribosomal RNA, 336 nt
Filed under: Triticum aestivum (bread wheat)
Lineage: Eukaryota; Viridiplantae; Streptophyta; Magnoliopsida; Poales; Poaceae
Description: partial small subunit ribosomal RNA
Source: RNAcentral